Molecule: ribosomal RNA, 253 nt
Filed under: uncultured bacterium
Lineage: Bacteria
Description: partial 16S ribosomal RNA
Rfam family: Bacterial small subunit ribosomal RNA
Source: RNAcentral
AACGAACGCUGGCGGCGCGCCUAAUACAUGCAAGUCGAGCGAGAAGACGUAGCAAUACGUUUGUAAAGCGGCGAACGGGUGAGGAAUACAUGGGUAACCUACCCUCGAGUGGGGAAUAACUAGCCGAAAGGUUAGCUAAUACCGCGUACGCUCCUUGGACUUCGGUUCAGGGAGGAAAGCGAUACCGUGGGUAUCGCGCUCUUGGAUGGGCUCAUGUCCUAUCAGCUUGUUGGUGAGGAACGGCUCACCAAGG